UGGUAAUGAUUUCUCUCCACUGAUUUCUUUAAUAAUACUCCAAUUCCAUCACUCUCUACGAGUUUUUAUUUUCAUCAAAAACUGAACAUUUUGUAUUAUUGCGAAACCAAAAAUUACUCAUGAAUAAGCCUGGACCAUGAAUUUUAUAUCAUCCCCAAUAUUCUACCAGAUGAUGAACAUUCAGGAACUCGUAGAUAGUCAAGUGAAAUUCAAUCCACGAAAUAAUUUAAUCUAUGAGCAGCGUCGUUUGUGGUAAAUUUUGAUACUGUUUUUGAUUUCAGAGGGAUUGCUUUUGCAGCUGAUUCAGGUGAUAAGCAAAUCUGUUUGCGUUACAAUGCCAUUAAAUAUUGAGGAGAUAGUGUUUGAUGAAAGUCUCCAGCGAAAUGAGUUUUGAGUUACAAUGCCAAUUUUGACAUCUGAAGCUUGUUGUAACUGAUGAUAAAUCUGUUUUACCAUGAGAUUUUCGAUGUCUUUUCAACCAGCCAUCUUUAGUCGAUUUAGGGAUCCAGCAAUGUGUGAGUGCAUGAAAAAUGGCUUAUCCACUUGUUAUUGGUUCAAAUUUGUGCAGCAUUUAUUUCAGUUCAUUCUCUUCGAUCGUGCUCCGGGAAAUGCAUGUGGUGCUUUGAGUUUGUUUUCAUGAGUUUGAGUUUGCAAGGCUUUUACUGAUUGUCGCACGGUUUUGGAUAGAAUACCAAGGAAUGUGUUGUUUGUUGGAUUGGACGGAUAGAGGCUUAUGAACGAGCAUACAACUGUGAGGGAGUAUUCAGUUUGUUCUUCUUAAUACAACAUGGAUAUGUUAUCUUUGGUAGACUCUAGAUAGUCAUUUGCAAUGCAAAUCUGUUCAUUGAUAUGGAUUCCAUCUGUGGGGGUUCUGCUAUGUUUCAAUGCUAGUUUGAUGGUUUCUCUCAAGAACAAGACUUCUUCCUCUACGCUCAUCCCUUGUGCUAUUGUAAUACUUGAGAAAUACAAUAUUGUUACAUGGAUAGCUACGAAACAUGCAGCUUAUUCAAGUAUUAACUUACAACUGAGUGAAAUGGUCAAGAUAACUUACAGGGACAAAGCUUAUUAGUAUUGGUGUCGUACCAUACGAACUCACUCGACCAGAUUUAUGUAGGAUGUUCCCCAGCUAUGCAUCCCAGUUGGCUCCUCCUAUAUGGCGUGAGAAAUUCGCUUCUUCUAUGGCACUUGGUUUGGCUACUUGGCUUGCUAGCUGCCAGGAGAUACUUCAGGAAUUCUUCAAGUACCCACACAACUGGACUUGAACGGCAUAAGGAACAAACAAAGCAAUUGGUCAACACACAUUUUGAUCGCUUUGUACCUUGCAAAACAAUGAUUUAUUGUAUGCAAGAGCUCAGCUUAGUUUUUCAGUGUGCGUUUGAGUUGCUGUGCGCAAGUUUGGUGCAGAAAAUGUCCGAGGUUACGAAUAUUACUUCACUUCGCUAGUACCACCCAUGAGCACAUUCAUAACAGUGUAUAUGAUCGGACACUAAGGCAACACAACAAAGUAGAGUACAAUGUUUUACCUUCUCGUAUAGGAAUACAGUCCAUCAGGAGAGUACCAAAAUUAUGCAAGCAUCAAAACACUCUGUGAGGCUACAGGAGCCACUGUUGUACCAGUAGCUGGCCACACGACUUUCUUGUGGAAUUGCUUGUAGGACAUUACUAAGGAGAUUCUUUGGAUACCAAAAUAGUGUCGGAAGGUCUCUCAAGGAUUCAGAGCAUGUGAGGAAAUUCUUUGCCUACGUUCAGCUAUGGGCUUUUGACUACGAUGUUUUUGGUGUUAAGGUUUUACUACUCGAACCUUGAGGACAAGGUUCUUAUUGGGUGUACCAGUAUUGGCAAAGCAGCCCAAUAACAGAUUAAAUGACUAUGUUUGGGAUCCAAGUUGAAUAUAAUUGAGGCAGCAAACUAGGUUUAUGCGAAUAUUGUUGGAGUGUCUGUGUCUCCUCAUUCCAAUUCAAUCCGUUUUUCUCUUCCGUUUCAGAGUCUAUGCUUUUCAUCUCCCUUCUAUCCCUUGUUUACUAUUCCUUGUUAUCCUUUCAACUACCUUGUUGAUCUUAAGCUUUCCGUUGCAACAGUUAGUUUGAGCUUUCAAUCAAAGGAAUUGCUUCCCUGUUGUUGAGUGUGUAAUUGUUCACUUACGAAGAUCGAUCAAGAAUGGUUCAAUUUCGCUAAUUCAGAUGUAGAUGAACCCUCACUGGUGAAAUGCCACCAAGUUAUUUGCCAUGUCUAGUUUGCCUCGUCAAGAGCUCAAGUAGAUAGAAGAAGGGUCCAGAUCCUUGACCUUGGGCCUUGCGGAAGUUGGCAUAGUUGUGGAAAAAGUAGAGGCCGAAGUCGACAAGGCAACCCGUUGCAGGCUCACCAUCAAUGAAGAUGUGAGCUUCUGGCAAAUGCCACCCUCUUGGGCGCACAAACAACGUAGCUGUCUGAUCAUUCAGUUUAUACACUUUGUUUCUAGCUUGAUCUUGGAAUGUUAUUGUUCUAUUUACUGCAUCCCUCAAAUUUAUCUGGCCUCUCAUUAAAUUCUCCCAGCUUGGUGACAGUGCAUCUUCAAAGUCCGCC
Long non-coding RNA from Solanum pennellii, 2562 nucleotides. RefSeq lists it as uncharacterized. Lineage: Eukaryota; Viridiplantae; Streptophyta; Magnoliopsida; Solanales; Solanaceae. The record is from RefSeq and is a predicted model, not a curated record. The transcript is spliced from 3 exons.